Molecule: ribosomal RNA, 225 nt
Filed under: uncultured bacterium
Lineage: Bacteria
Description: partial 16S ribosomal RNA
Rfam family: Bacterial small subunit ribosomal RNA
Source: RNAcentral
CUGCCUUUGAAUCGGGGAUAACGUUACGAAAGUGACGCUAAUACCGGAUAAUAUCUAAGUAGCCUCGGUUUUCUUAGAUCAAAGGGGGCCUCUACAUGUAAGCUUCUGUUCGAAGAUGAGUCCGCGUGCCAUUAGCUUGUUGGUAGGGUAAUGGCCUACCAAGGCUGCGAUGGCUAGCUGGUCUGAGAGGAUGAUCAGCCACACUGGAACUGAGACACGGUCCAG